Molecule: small nuclear RNA, 167 nt
Filed under: Peromyscus maniculatus bairdii (prairie deer mouse)
Lineage: Eukaryota; Metazoa; Chordata; Mammalia; Rodentia; Cricetidae
Description: U1 spliceosomal RNA (ENSPEMG00000003038.2)
Rfam family: U1 spliceosomal RNA
About the family: U1 is a small nuclear RNA (snRNA) component of the spliceosome (involved in pre-mRNA splicing). Its 5' end forms complementary base pairs with the 5' splice junction, thus defining the 5' donor site of an intron.
Source: RNAcentral
AAAGAUACCUAGCUAGGGAGAUACCAAGAUCACAAAGGUGGUGGUUUUCCCAGGGCGAGGCUUAUCACACUGCACUCUGGAUUUGCUGACUCCUGCGAUUUCCUCAAAUUCAAGAAACUUGAGUGCAUAAUUUGUGAUAGUGGGGGGACUGUAUUUGCACUCUCCCA